RNAcentral lists this long non-coding RNA (292 nucleotides) under Phoenix dactylifera (date palm). RNAcentral's name for it is "long non-coding RNA (PDAC_LNC012800)". Lineage: Eukaryota; Viridiplantae; Streptophyta; Magnoliopsida; Arecales; Arecaceae. The record is from RNAcentral.
AAAGCAAUUUAGAAAUAAUCCAUCCUCAGUUGGCAUGAAAUGUCUACCCUUAAUCUAAGGUGGUAGCACACUACAUCUUCCUUAAGCAUGGACUAUCUUAUAUUUACUUAGUGAUCAUAAAAAAUAGUUGUAUAAAUGUCAUACUUAAAAUCACAGAAAUUAAAUAUGAGAUGAAAUAAAAUAUUCAUUAAGAACAAAAUAAAGUUUAUACAACUCCAGGAAUAGAAAAUUAAAAUAUAAAACCCUUGGCCCUUUGUUAGGGCUGCAUCCAGCCCUAGUGAGGAGAUCAGCC